UACGUAGGUGGCAAGCGUUGUUCGGAUUUACUGGGCGUAAAGGGCGCGUAGGCGGCAAUUCAAGUCAUCUGUGAAAUCUCCGGGCUUAACCCGGAACGGUCAGGUGAUACUGUUUUGCUAGAGUGCGGAAGGGGCCAUCGGAAUUCUCGGUGUAGCGGUGAAAUGCGUAGAUAUCGAGAGGAACACCAGAGGCGAAGACGGGUUGCUGGGCCGACACUGACGCUGACAGCGCGAAAGCCAGGGGAGCAAACGGG
Molecule: ribosomal RNA, 254 nt
Filed under: uncultured bacterium
Lineage: Bacteria
Description: partial 16S ribosomal RNA
Rfam family: Bacterial small subunit ribosomal RNA
Source: RNAcentral